GAUGAACGCUGGCGGCGUGCCUAAUACAUGCAAGUCGAGCGAACAGACGAGGAGCUUGCUCCUCUGACGUUAGCGGCGGACGGGUGAGUAACACGUGGAUAACCUACCUAUAAGACUGGGAUAACUUCGGGAAACCGGAGCUAAUACCGGAUAAUAUAUUGAACCGCAUGGUUCAAUAGUGAAAGACGGUUUUGCUGUCACUUAUAGAUGGAUCCGCGCCGCAUUAGCUAGUGGGUAAGGUAACGGCUUACCAAGGCAACGAUGCGAAGCCGCCCUGAACGCGAGGUCGGACACCCUGGAAGUGAGGAACGGCAGAGACUCCUACGGUAGGAAGCAGUAGGGAAUCCUACGCGAUGGGGGAAAGCCUGACGGAGCAAAGCCGCGGGAGUGAUGAAGGUGUUCGGCUCGGAAAACUCUGUUAGUAGGAAGGAACAAAUGUGUAAGUACCUAGGAUGGUCUUGACGGUACCUAAUCAGAAAGCCACGGCUAACUACGUG
RNAcentral lists this ribosomal RNA (497 nucleotides) under uncultured bacterium. RNAcentral describes it as "partial 16S ribosomal RNA". It matches the Rfam family "Bacterial small subunit ribosomal RNA", at positions 28 to 507 of the family's 1533-position model. The record is from RNAcentral.